AUGUUGGUGGAGCUCAAGUGCUGGCAACGGGCAAGUCUGCUGGGGAGGAAACUGAGACCAUGGCGCUAAAGAAGAGAGCCCCAAGGUUAAACCUCAGUCUCUCUGAAAGAAAUGCACAAGUGAUUGAGCUCUGAGCAAACAGCCUCUUCAGAAGGGUUUCAGCACUCUGGACUCCUGCCUACAGUUGCAGUCUUAGAGACAGCUUGAAUUUGAGCACCAAGGCUGGUGAUGGACCUUCACAAAGAACUCAAAAUCCAGAGCAAAUAAUAGAGCAUACAGAUGCUGCAAUACCUCUAUGCUAAAGGAAAAUGUUGCUUCUCUUCUACAAGAAGCUGAUUGCAUAGACAGAUGUAAGAGCAAUCUUUCCAGCAGUAAGAAAGAAUUGAAGCCAGCAAAUCUUCACUGCCUAUCCUGUUCCCCAUGUUGGAGCUGGUCAUGCUGCAUGAUGUCUUUGUGUCCAUAUCAGUGGAACCUACCUGCAGCAAAUGGCUCAUGGAAUGAGAACCAAACUCAAGACACAACUUCUUUAGCACCACCGUCUUACCAAGAGAUGAGCCACAUUUUCUAGGACUGUUAGCCUCACCUUCUUAGCUGCCAGAAGAAUCCCUCUGUCAACAUUCAAGGGCCCUGAAACAUGGAAACUAAGGGGUAGUCUCCAUUCCCAUAAAUGAAAGACAGACCUUCCAAAGGAAGAAAUGGCAGGCUGAACUGGAGUGGGAGUAAAGGGUCUGAUGGCCAUGGAAUGGGCCUGCAGCUCUGCAGCGCUUCAAAUGGUGGAGUCAACCAAGGAUUAAAUGAGAAAACAGCUGCAGUGCCUUGCAGAGAGCUAUACCAAUGCAAGUGCUUAUUGCUCUGCUUAUGGAAUUAUUUUGUGGUGAUGAUUCCAAUGCCCAUUUCUUAUCAUGGAGGACAUAACUGGCAGAGGCUUAGGAAACCCACAUCUUUAAUUAUUGCCAUAAACCUAAGUCUCUGUGGUACAGGCCGCAUUCAUAUUUCUCGCCCCUCUAAUAGUAACCCUGUAUUUCUGAGCUGUGUUAAGGAACGCUCUUUGCCCUUUCAUUCAACAGAAAUACAGGUGUCUGUAUGGACUGGCUCUUCUUAGAUUGGGUUACUCUCCUUGUGUGUGAUGAAAGAUGAGCUAUAUUUCAAAACAAAGCACUGUGUUAUAAUAAUUUGCCUGGAUUCCCAGGGCAUCUUUUAUCUGAGUUGAUAACAAUGUAGUUCAUUAGCAGCCUUUGUUAACUGAUAACCUAAAGCAGUAAUGCAAUACUCAUAAGCAAUUUUCCGUGUGUAAGAUAGAAUAAACCAUCUUGUGAGGUAUCUGG
This 1325-nucleotide long non-coding RNA is filed under the name Sus scrofa (pig). RNAcentral describes it as "lncRNA (ENSSSCG00055006234.1)". Lineage: Eukaryota; Metazoa; Chordata; Mammalia; Artiodactyla; Suidae. The record is from RNAcentral.